GGAGGGUUGGCAGAGCGGUCUAUCGCGCCGGUCUUGAAAACCGGAGGACCUUCGGGUUCCGUGAGUUCAAAUCUCACACCCUCCGCCA
Molecule: transfer RNA, 88 nt
Filed under: Agrobacterium salinitolerans
Lineage: Bacteria; Pseudomonadati; Pseudomonadota; Alphaproteobacteria; Hyphomicrobiales; Rhizobiaceae
Description: tRNA-Ser
Rfam family: tRNA
About the family: Transfer RNA (tRNA) molecules are approximately 80 nucleotides in length.
Source: RNAcentral